CCUUACAGAAACUUACUUUUCUACUCUGAUGCUUUUGCAAAUAAAUGUUCCUACAAAAGUGCUUCUUCAUCUUCCAGACGACUCAUGGGAAGGACUCUAACAAGUACAAGUUUCUGAUAACUUCCAGACCACACCACUGAGUAAGAAUUGGCAGAGCUCUAAGGGAAAGACUGACAGUUUCAUAAAACUAACAAAAGAUCAAGAUCAACAAGAAUUAGUUACAUUGGACUGAAUGAACUGAUAGAGAUGAUUUUGUAAUUUUUAUGACUUUUGUUUGAAACACUGUGGUGUUGUUUUUCUAGAGUUAGGAAAAUCUGUCUUUUCUGUUAAACUAUCAUUACUUUGGUAAAAUGUACCUUUGUAAACAAAGAUGAAACAUUUAUCUUUUCUCCUUAUCUGAUUCCUCCAGAAUUUGGAAACUGCAUUCUUAUUUUCAUGGAGAUACAGUUAUUUGCUUAAGUUCAAUAGGAAUCUGUUCUCCUUGCAACAGGACACAAUUGGAAACAUUGGUUAUAUGACCAAGACUUUGAUGAAAUGUCAUAUUUGAGAAUAUGCAUAAAAUCAGAUGUGAGAAGAUAGUUUGAAGGAACUAAAGUUGACUUAUGGAGCCAAAAAAGUCCCUGGGAACAAAGAGCCUGGCACCUUGCUUACAGAGUUCUCAGCAACCUUAGCAGGUGAGUAAGGCAGGUCACUUCCUGGCAGGCCCAGGAACUUCAAGAUAUCCUGGGGACCUCAUGAAGAGAAGAAUUCACCCAAACAGAUAGGUAUUGCAAGUGAAGUCUGAUGGUGAGUUCUUGGCAUGGCUUCUUAGCCUGGAGAGGCUAUAAAAGUCCUAUCUAAGACUCCCUCUGAAAAGUUCCAGAAAAGCAGAUUUUUAAAAGGUCUAAUGUGGUCAAUCGCUAUUCUUGCUGCACUUAUGUAAAUAAUCAGGCCAACUUUAAUAAGAUUAGAUUUAUUACGCAAACAAAUUAGUCUUACUGUAAUUAUCUUUAUUAGAAAUAGGGGCGCCUGGGUGGCUCAGUCAGUUAAGUGCCCGACUUUGGCUCAGCUCACGAUCUCACUGUUUGUGAGUUCGAGUCCCGUGUCGGGCUCGAACAGCUCAGAACCUGGAGCCUGUUUCAGAUUCUGUGUCUCCCUCUCUCACUGUCCCUCCCCCACUCACACUCUGUCUGUCUCUCUCUCUCUCAAAAAUAAAUGUUAAAAAAAAUAUUUUUUAAAGAAAUGAGGGUGAUGUAGAACAAACACUGUGUUUCAGUAGAGGAUUAUAACACAACCUAUAGAUAUCAGAUUCGACUCCUGUUCAUUGUCUUUGAGGUUUUAUUUUAUAUAUAUAUUUAUAUAUUUAUAUAUAAAUAUAUAAAUAAAAUAUAAAUUAUAAAAUUUUAUAAAAUUUAUAAAUUAUAAAAUAUAAAAUCUAAAUUAUAUAUAUUUAUAUAUAUUUAUAUAUAUAUGUAUAUAUAUACUUAAAAUAUCCCCUGUUUUCUCCCACCCUUCUUUUUUUUUUUUUUUUUUUUUUUUUUUUUUUCAACGUUUAUUUAUUUUUGGGACAGAGAGAGACAGAGCAUGAACGGGGGAGGGGCAGAGAGAGAGGGAGACACAGAAUCCGAAACAGGCUCCAGGCUCUGAGCCAUCAGCCCAGAGCCCGACGCGGGGCUCGACGCGGGGCUCGAACUCCCGGACCGCGAGAUCGUGACCUGGCUGAAGUCGGACGCUUAACCAACUGCGCCACCCAGGCGCCCCUCUCCCACCCUUCUGAUUUGGAUCACAGAGGCUGCCCUUGAAGCGCCUUAUAAGGGACCAUACCUCAGGCUCUCCCCACAACCCAACAGCAGCCGUACUUUAGUGAUUUGAACCUUGGGUCCCAUCCCCCAAAUGUAAGGGACUCAUUUAGACACUUGGAUCUGCAUACCAGCUGGAGAUCUUAAAUUAAAAUUAACUAGGGAGGUUCCUUCCCAGAAUUAGACAACAUCUUGAGACAGACAGCUCUCCCAAGGUCGUGAAUCAAGGUUUUCAACCCCAAUAUGAAACUUUUACUCCUUUCGCCUUUUUGCUCCUUGCUUCCUCUCCGUGUUAACGCACAGGAAGGCAACGCUCCUUCAUUCUGGCGGCUGUCACUGAAUCUACUGCUGAGUCCACAGCUGUACAACCAAAGUCCCCAAACACUCUUGCUAAGGUGGGUUUUUCUUAAUGUUUAUUUAUUUAUUUUGACAGAGAGAGGGAGAGAGAGCACGCACACAAGUCGGGGGGGGGGGGGGGCAGAGGAGGAGAGGGAGAAAGAGUCCCAAGCAGGCUCUGCUCUGUCUGCGGGGAGCCUGAUGCGGGGCUCGAUCCCAAGAACCAGGAGAUCACGACCUGCGCCGGAAUCCACAGUGGGAAGCUUAACCCACUGGGCAACCGAGUUGGUCACCCAGGUGCCCCAAGGUGGUUUUGGAUAACAGAAUUGCUUUAUGUUACUUACUGGAUGAACAAAGAGGAAGCUGGAUCAUUGUACCUGGACCAUUACCUCCGGUACUGCAACACAUACAAGAAAUUAACAAGUCCCUUGGUUAAAACAGGUUGAUGACCCCCACCCCGUGUACAUUCUUUGAUUUGUUUGAUAUCAGCUGGGUGGUUCAUGGAGGCCCUGGCUAAGGGGGAAACUUCAGUCUCUUGGUACCAGCCUCCCAACAGUCAUCACUGGAGUCUCCCUGGAGCACCAGCUUCUCUCCAAGGUCCUAAAUGCAUGUUCACAGCCAUCCACAGUAUAUCACAUGGUCUCUCUGAGCGUGGAGAAAUAGAAAAAAGGAAGCAGCCAGAUGAACAAGAUGAAAAACAAUUCUUCCACAGAUCUGCCCUCACAACUUAGGAGUGUCACAAGGACACGAGAGCCACUUAACUCUCACGGUGACCGGAGAGUGGCGCCCAUACCAACUUUUUGGUCAAUCUCUCAUGGAUGAGAGGAUGGCCAAAAGAGGGAAAGUGUUUAAUUAAACGAGGACAGUAGACCAAUAAUGCUCUCAGGCCGUGGCAGCCUACAUAAAAAGCAAACCAAAACCCAAGGCUCUAAAUGCCUCAAAGUUACAAAAUCAAAAUGCUAAAAGCAACCAAUCAUGAACAGCUAACUAAACUCUAAGCUAUAGCCAAUCAAUU
This 3129-nucleotide long non-coding RNA is filed under the name Lynx pardinus (Iberian lynx). Lineage: Eukaryota; Metazoa; Chordata; Mammalia; Carnivora; Felidae. The record is from RNAcentral.